This 253-nucleotide ribosomal RNA is filed under the name uncultured bacterium. Its description in RNAcentral is "partial 16S ribosomal RNA". It matches the Rfam family "Bacterial small subunit ribosomal RNA", at positions 524 to 776 of the family's 1533-position model. The record is from RNAcentral.
UACGUAGGGCGCAAGCGUUGUCCGGAAUUAUUGGGCGUAAAGAGCUCGUAGGCGGCCAGUUGCGUCUGCUGUGAAAUCCCGGGGCUCAACCCCGGGCGUGCAGUGGAUACGGGCUGGCUAGAGGCAGGCAGGGGAGAACGGAAUUCCGGGUGUAGCGGUGGAAUGCGUAGAGAUCCGGAAGAACACCAGUGGCGAAGGCGGCCCGCUGGGCAGUGGCUGACGCUGAGGCGCGACAGCGUGGGGAGCAAACAGG